This 353-nucleotide unclassified non-coding RNA is filed under the name fungal sp. Its description in RNAcentral is "partial internal transcribed spacer region". The stretch from base 1 to 45 matches the Rfam family "Eukaryotic small subunit ribosomal RNA", at positions 1787 to 1831 of the family's 1831-position model. Lineage: Eukaryota; Fungi. The record is from RNAcentral.
AGUCGUAACAAGGUUUCCGUAGGUGAACCUGCGGAAGGAUCAUUAACACUUUUUGGUUUUCCAAAAACCAAUUUUCCUUUCAACACCUAAUGUGAAUUGUUUUAUUUGUCGUGUGAAAUUUUCCCUUUCUCAAAAAGGCAGAGAGUGUGUUAGGAAAUUGAGACUAUGUUUCAAUUUCUUUUCCAGUCUAUCUUGCUUGGUUGGGUGGGAGAAUUUCACUCAACAAUUAAACCCCAUAAACCAAUUUUAAUGUAACCAAAAAAAUUACAAAAAAAAAAUUGACAGAGAAACUCUAAGUUUCCUAAAUAACAACAAUAAAAAAACAACUCUUAGCAAUGGAUAUCUUGGUUCUC